Canis lupus familiaris (dog) is the source of this 457-nucleotide long non-coding RNA. RefSeq lists it as uncharacterized. The transcript is spliced from 4 exons. The record is from RefSeq and is a predicted model, not a curated record. NCBI's taxonomy places the organism in Eukaryota, Metazoa, Chordata, Mammalia, Carnivora, Canidae.
CAUAACUUUCAGGAAAUGUCUCAUCGAGUUAAUCACCCUGACUUUCUGGGAAAAUGAAAGAACCAGAGCAGGAAAGAUGUCUUCUGUGAUUCAUCAGCAUGUAAUUUAAAGAAGUUCUAUCCAUUGACAGGGUCUGGGUACAGUGACACUUCAGAACCGAAGAGCAUUCCAAAUGCCCACAUCUGGGUUCCUAAAUGCAAUUCUCUGCUAAAAGGAAUGAGAUCUCCUUGCAGAAAUAACUGACUUCAGAGCUAAAGCAGGGAUAAUCAAAGGUAUCCUUCUAGUUUCCACUGACAAGUGACAAGAAAUAUUAAUUAUAACCCAGUUACUGUACCUAUGUGAUCGUUAUAAAAUGCUGCGGAGUAUGCCAGUGGGUUAAGGUAACCAUGAUGCUAGAAAAAAAUAAGCAAAUACUAGAUUUAUCAGUGCUUAAAGUCCUUUGGCCAUUUCUGUCAAC